AGCUGAGUGAAAGAAGCCUUGCAUGCAAAAAAGGUUUCCUGGAAUAAGAAUUCAUUGGAAGAAAGCAUUACUGUGUGGAAGUUUGAAAGCCGUUAUCAGUAUUCUCUGCCGAUAGCAAAGGCUCUCUAGUCGGCAACUAUCAGAGCAAAUUCUGUCUCUCCACUCUGUGGUUCUAGGCCCACUGUAGCCACCAGGGAACAGUUCAACUGAAAUGACCCAUCAACUCCAUUCCUGUUGUUAUUCUUAAAACUUCCUGGCACAGCAUCAGAUACCUGCAUGAAGGAAAAGCUUCUUCAGCCUUCCCUCUCUAUUUGGCUUCAAGUGGGUAUAUCACAGUUAUUGCCAUAUACAGAAAAUUCUGACUGACAUUUCCAGAGCUUUUUGGUGACAGAAGUGAUUUUCACAUUCCCUCAAGCUGGAGCAUAUUUUCACAAGCACUAUUUGGGUUCUUUGGUCAUUCAUCUUUAAAGUAAGAGAACUCCAUCUAGACCACUUCCAUCAUCUUGUGAUUCAUGGAAAACCAUUGACAACAGGAUUACUGACUGAUCUUGGAGUUGUUAGUUUUUAUCAGUUUUAGUGUUUUUAUAGUUAUUUCAUUGGGUGGUUGUAAGAGGUUUUACUAGGGGGUGUUAGGUAGCACACACUUUCAAUCAAGCUACCUAUUCAAAAUGUCGGCAUUUUUGCAGUAUCUCCCAAGAUGUUUCUGUUGAAGAAUAAUAUUUGUACUGUGAGAGUUAUAUCUGGAACUCCUGUACUCCAGAAUCAAAAACAAAAAUGUGAAGCAAUAGGUUCUAUUUCACAGGCUAAUUAAAGCAAGAGAUUUGGUAUUUCUUUACAAAAAGAAUGAUGAAGGUAGAUAGUGGCCUGGAAACCAGUGAACCUGAUUGCAAAAUGAAUAUUUAAAAGCCCCUCUGAUUUAAUGUGCUCUUGUUUCCGUUCCCUUUAUUCUUUACAAAGACAAAGAGUCCUCUGUAAAUAUUGCUUUAAGGAUUAUCAGGCUUCAAUUUUCAAUUUUGUCCAAAGGCCAUAAUUUAAACCAUAAUAUUGGCUUUACAAAUGUAAACAGUGAUUGAACCUCUUUCCUUUAGCUAAUAGAAAUGCCAAUGAAAUUAGAGUCAAUUAAAUAAUUGCUUUAUUAACCUAAUGUAUUACUGCUGUAAGACGUGCUGUGACUCAUCCAGUCAGGAGGGGAGCUAGGAGAGAACAAAACUACAUCAACAUAAAGACAAUGGAAACCAGCAUUUUGCAAAAACUUGAUCCAAUAAAAAGAAUAAAACAUUUAUUGAAAUUUUGAUAUAUCAAUUUCAUUCUUUAUAGUUUAACCAUGACCGAAGAUGGAAAACUCCUAAGAGAUUUUAAAGGUUAAAGGUCUUUCAGAAUAUGUUAAAUGUCCCCUCUUCUGCCAAGUUUUCUCUGUCCACCUCUGUCUCCAGACUCCUCCUCUGCUUCUCUCAGGCAAGAUAUCUCACUUUUUCCUUUAUGGUAAUACAGAGGUAUGUGAUUACUGACUUCUAGUGUUAUAUACCUUGAGAGAUGAUUUGCAAUUAUUUUUUAAACUUCUGUAUUCCCUACCAUGUGGUCCCCUGCCUUUUUGAGGACUGAAUUUAUUAUCUCAAUAAUUUCAGAACCUAGUGAAGUAUUAUACCUGGUAAUACCACUAAGCAAAUACUUGAGGAAUGAAUGAGUAAACAGGUCGGUAGCACUGUGGUAUCUCUAGGAAGGUGCAGAGCAGGUUCCCAGUAAUUAAAGCCCUUCUUGUAGCUCACCUUUCUCCUGCUGUGCCCCAAGUGUUCUUGUAUACCUGAGCACAGAACAGCAAGAGGAGAAUUUUGUGGGUCUUCUUUUUCUGACCC
Delphinapterus leucas (beluga whale) is the source of this 1853-nucleotide non-coding RNA. The record is from RefSeq and is a predicted model, not a curated record. NCBI's taxonomy places the organism in Eukaryota, Metazoa, Chordata, Mammalia, Artiodactyla, Monodontidae.